GUAUUGUACUGCAUACGUCACAAUAGCUUUGUCGAUAGGCGACAGCUCUCGAUAUCUGUCGUAUAUAUAUGCAGUUGGUCAUACGUAUCAUCAAAUAGAGAGACAUCUUCUGAAUAUCCACUUACAUAAUAGCCAUCAAUGUGUAGCCUUCCAUUUUCAGAACCUAAAAUGGAUAUAAUUCAAUUAUAAUGCCUAUCCGUACAAUAAUCACUAAGGAGAUGUAUUUAUUAUGAUCCUGUAUUACAAUACAUACAGAUUAACUGCGAGAGUGACAUGGAUGCAACCGAGUUGUCUAAGGUUCUGUUAUCUAUGGAUUAUAACUAUUUCGAAAGAAUGCUGGAGAGAAUAGAAAAGAAAUGUAGAGAGACGCCAGAGAUUAUGGAUACCUGGAAUGCCUCACGUUUGAUGAUCUAUAAAGAAUGGAAUAAGGACAAAGGGAUAAUUCCAAAAUACAAUGAAGCCUGUUUAAAUUCAAUCUGGACAUAUCUGAUGCAAGAAUAAUAUGUCAAUAUUGGUGUGAUGUACGGG
RNAcentral lists this long non-coding RNA (528 nucleotides) under Androctonus crassicauda. Lineage: Eukaryota; Metazoa; Arthropoda; Arachnida; Scorpiones; Buthidae. The record is from RNAcentral.